GGUGUAGACUGUUUUUUAAGUCAGUUGUGAAAUCUCCUGACUCAAUUAGGAGCCUGCAAUUGAUACUGGAGGACUUGAGGGCGGCAGAAGAAAGCAGAAUUCCCGGUGUAGCGGUGAAAUGCGUAGAUAUCGGGAGGAAUACCAGUGGCGAAGGCGGCUUUCUAGGCUGCUCCUGACGUUGAGGCCCGAAAGUGUGGGGAGCGAAACGGAUUAGAUACCCGUGUAGUCCACACCUUAAACUUUGAAUACUAGGUAUAGGGGGUAUCGACCCUCUCUGUGCCGAAGCUAACGCUUUAAGUAUUCCGCCUGGGGACUACGGCCACAAGGCUAAA
Molecule: ribosomal RNA, 332 nt
Filed under: uncultured bacterium
Lineage: Bacteria
Description: bacterial SSU rRNA
Rfam family: Bacterial small subunit ribosomal RNA
Source: RNAcentral